UUGAGAACUUACACAUCGGUAGCCCUGUGGGAGUAAGUCUAUCAUGCAUCUGCUGUUUUUGCUCAUGUCUGAGACACAGAUCUCAAGAGGAAAAUCUGGAAAAGGACAAAAUGGAAGAAUGAACUGUAGUAAGAUUUGGGGCCUUAUGCUAAUUCUUGCCCAGUCUUGAGUUAAAGAUUUGUGUUACCUUAACAUGUACAGUAACUCCUCACUUAAAGUCAUCCCGGUUAACAUUGCUGAUCAUUUAGGGAACAUGCUCAUAUAAAGUUGUGCAAUGCUCCCUUCUAAUGUCGUUUGGCAGCUGCCUGCUUUGUCUACUGAAGAGUAUCUCAGUGAAAGUUUUAAUCCUCUGCCAAAGGUUUGGGAUGGAAGCCUUAUUUCUUCUUCCGUAGUAGGAUGCUUUCCCAUACCAGACCGUGAUAACUUUGGCAGGCAUCAUUGCAGUACCCAGGCUAGCAACACGCGGGCAGCUUCAGAACGCCAGCAGCAGCUGUGCUCUCUAUACCGGGGUCGGCAACCUACAGCACGCAUGCAAAAGAGUGGAUUUCUUCAAUAUGAUAUAUUAUUUGCUUCCUUAUCACACACCAGAUCAUUGGGUUCUUGCGAUAGCAUUGAUGCAAACAAAAUAAUUAUUAACAAUUGACCCCUUGUGUGAUGAGAUGAGAUAUGAAAGAACAUGUCUAAGGAAUUGGAGUUUCAGAUACUUCAUCAAACGAUUAACGAGCAACUCCCCAUCUGAUUGGAAGAAUAAAAUUCUUCAGCAUAAUAAACAAAAAGUGAUGGCCACAACUGCAGACCACUUAUCUUAAAGUUUGCAGAAACGUAUUUGCGGCAGAAAGACAGCCUCUUGUGAUGUUUCUAUUGAAUUGAUAAUGCUGAGUUUAGAAGACAAGUAGCAAUUGUUCUAGUGAAAGAGUCAGAAAGCGUGGAGGACUACUGCAUAUACUGCAACCUUGUCAGUUGUGAAAAGGAAAGUGAGGAUUGCACGAUGGUCCAGUGUGAUUCUUGCAAGAGGUGGGUACAUAUGCCCUGCAUUCCAGAAGGAACAAAUCAUGAAAUCCUCACUGAUGAGGAA
Mauremys reevesii (Reeves's turtle) is the source of this 1075-nucleotide long non-coding RNA. RefSeq lists it as uncharacterized. Lineage: Eukaryota; Metazoa; Chordata; Testudines; Geoemydidae. The record is from RefSeq and is a predicted model, not a curated record. The transcript is spliced from 7 exons.